GGAGAGGUGCGAGAGUGGCCGAAUCGGCGUGACUGGAAAUCACGUGUGCCAGCAAUGGUACCGUGGGUUCGAAACCCACCCUCUCCGCCA
RNAcentral lists this transfer RNA (90 nucleotides) under Nitrospira sp. RNAcentral's name for it is "tRNA-Ser". It matches the Rfam family "tRNA". From Rfam's summary of the family: Transfer RNA (tRNA) molecules are approximately 80 nucleotides in length. Their secondary structure includes four short double-helical elements and three loops (D, anti-codon, and T loops). Lineage: Bacteria; Pseudomonadati; Nitrospirota; Nitrospiria; Nitrospirales; Nitrospiraceae. RNAcentral also lists the same sequence under 9 other names. The record is from RNAcentral.